CGCACUUGACUGGGGGUCAAGGGGUCGCAGGUUCAAAUCCUGUCGUCCCGA
Molecule: transfer RNA, 51 nt
Organism: Streptomyces sp. MnatMP-M17
Lineage: Bacteria; Bacillati; Actinomycetota; Actinomycetes; Kitasatosporales; Streptomycetaceae
Rfam family: tRNA
About the family: Transfer RNA (tRNA) molecules are approximately 80 nucleotides in length. Their secondary structure includes four short double-helical elements and three loops (D, anti-codon, and T loops).
Source: Rfam